Molecule: non-coding RNA, 1475 nt
Organism: Vicugna pacos (alpaca)
Lineage: Eukaryota; Metazoa; Chordata; Mammalia; Artiodactyla; Camelidae
Source: RefSeq, a predicted model, not a curated record
GUUAUUGUAUUUUUCUGCUUGAAAAGCAAUGUUUUAUUUUGUCAUUGAAACCAUCCUCUCCUUUGUCAUAAGACACUUGCAACUUAAGAGGUUUAAAGUAUCACUGGAGUUUAUGCUUUUAUUUUUGUAUUUAAUUUUUAACUUCUAUUUUUAUUUGCAUUUUAAUUCAAAUUUAAUAUACGUUAACUUUUUUGAUUCAAAAAAUCAUUCCAAGGACAGGUAAGACUUGAAUCCCUAAAUAAUUGAAAUAGCUUCAGUAACAAGGAACUAUUUCUUAUUCGUUUCCUUACUUACGUGAAUUUGCAGCCCCCACCAAAGAAGGUUAAAAUAAGAAAAAGGGUUUACUAUACUCUUUAUUUGUUUUAGAGGAAAGAAUUGAUCCAGAUGACAGAAACCUCCACCAGACGGAGCAGCCAGCACAAAGAGUCUGUGUGGCGGUGCAUUCGGCUCGCUAGAUAAAGAAAGGAAGUGACAGGAAAUCAGAGAGUUUAUUUUAACGAUCCUGCCCUGUCUUCCAUCAUAAGGCUGUCAAGUUCAAAGCAGAAGUCCAUGGAGAAGAGUCUGGAAUCUUCUCACCACCAUUAAACAAAGCCCCGUCAAGUUAAGCUGAACUUCUCUAGUGUCUGUGAAAUGAAACACACACACUGUAGGUUGCGACUCUCCUGGCAGGAAUACCUCUUCACUAUGUGAAGACAUAACAAGAAGAUAGCCGUCUGCAAGCUAGACCCUCACCAGAACCCACGCAGGGUGGCACGCUGAUUUCAACUUCCCAACCCCUAGAACUGUGAGAAGUAAAUUUCUGUUGUUUAAGACCCCGAGUCUAUGCUGUGUUUGUUAUAGCCACCUGAACUGACUGAGGGGACAGAGCCCUCAGGGAUGAGGCUGAAAUGAACGUUCAUGAACAAGACUGUGUGGACAAAAGCCUCCACUUCUCCUGAGUAACAGCUCGGGAGUCGUAUUACUGGGACAUACAGUAAAUGUUCUUUUAACUUUAAAAGAAAUGUCAAAAGUUAAUUCCAAAGUUAUUCUGCUAUUCAGCAUUCCCACCAGGUUUCCUUUUGCUCUGCAUUUCCAUCAACGCUUGGUAUUAUCAGUCUUCUAAAUUUUAACUACUCUAAGGGUGAACAGUAUUAUCUCACUAUGUUUUAAUUAGCAUUUUCUUAAUGACUAAUAAUAUUUUUGUAUCCUUGUUGGCCAUGUGUUUCUCCUGUCAAAUAUCUAUUCAAACCUUUUGCCCAUUCGGUCAAUAGGAUUGUUUGUUUCUGUUUUUGUUUUUUCUUCAUGUUGUUGAGUUGUUAUAGGACACUGUAUCUUCCGGUUAAAGGUUCUUUGUAAGAUGUAAAUAUUGUGAAUGUUUUCUCCUAGCCAGGGGCUUACCUUUUCAUUCUGAAGAGUUUGAACAACAUAAAAUUUUAAUUACGAUGAGAAUUUCAUCAAAUUUAUUUUUUCUCAAUGAAGGUGCUGAGAAUUGAACC